AGUCGAACGGACUUAACUCAUUCUUUUAGAUUGAGAGCGGUUAGUGGCGGACUGGUGAGUAACACGUAAGCAACCUGCCUAUCAGAGGGGAAUAACAGUGAGAAACCAUUGCUAAUACCGCAUAAGCUAGUAGUAUCGCAUGAUAUAGCUAGAAAAGGAGCAAUCCGCUGAUAGAUGGGCUUGCGUCUGAUUAGCUAGUUGGUGGGGUAACGGCCUACCAAGGCGACGAUCAGUAGCCGGACUGAGAGGUUGAACGGCCACAUUGGGACUGAGAUACGGCCCAGACUCCUACGGGAGGCAGCAGUCGGGAAUAUUGCGCAAUGGAGGAAACUCUGACGCAGUGACGCCGCGUAUAGGAAGAAGGUUUUCGGAUUGUAAACUAUUGUCGUGAGGGAAGAAAUUGACAGUACCUCAGGAGGAAGCUCCGGCUAACUAUGUGCCAGCAGCCGCGGUAAUACAUAGGGAGCAAGCGUUAUCCGGAUUUAUUGGGUGUAAAGGGUGCGUAGACGGGAAAUUAAGUUAGUUGUGAAAUCCCUCGGCUUAACUGAGGAACUGCAACUAAAACUGAUUUUCUUGAGUACUGGAGAGGAAAGUGGAAUUCCUAGUGUAGCGGUGAAAUGCGUAGAUAUUAGGAGGAACACCAGUGGCGAAGGCGACUUUCUGGACAGUAACUGACGUUGAGGCACGAAAGUGUGGGGAGCAAACAGGAUUAGAUACCCUGGUAGUCCACGCCGUAAACGAUGAAUAUUAGGUGUCGGGGGACAAAGUCCUUCGGUGCC
Molecule: ribosomal RNA, 779 nt
Filed under: uncultured bacterium
Lineage: Bacteria
Description: bacterial SSU rRNA
Rfam family: Bacterial small subunit ribosomal RNA
Source: RNAcentral